RNAcentral lists this ribosomal RNA (480 nucleotides) under Triticum aestivum (bread wheat). RNAcentral describes it as "partial small subunit ribosomal RNA". The record is from RNAcentral. Lineage: Eukaryota; Viridiplantae; Streptophyta; Magnoliopsida; Poales; Poaceae.
AUGGACAUCAUCGGGGGGGGGGAGGAUACCAUGGCGGGGGAGGUCAGCAAGAGGAGGAGGAGGAGGGUACACAUGGCCACUGCCCGAGAUGGUUGCGCGGCAUCGCUUCCGUACGAGAUGAUCAUAGAGGUGCUGCAGUGGCUCCCCAUCAAAUCUGUCUUCCGCUUCCGGGCAGUUUGCCACAGCUGGGCUGCGCUGCUAUCUUCUGACGAAUUCCGCCGCCUCCACAUGGCAGCAGCUAAGGCUGCUCGGCGGCCGGCACCACCAGCCAAGUUGAUAUACAUCUCACCUACCGCCACAUUCGAUUCCACCACAGUCUACUCGUGUUCCUUCUCGCGGUCAUCAUCAUCAGGCUGCCCCAGAGAUCGCGGGGACUUACUGUUCACCAUCGACGGUGCCCGUGGCAACUGCGUGGAAGUAGUAAUGCCAGCACCAUGCCAUGGCCUCACCCUUAUCUAUGAUGCUCUCGAGACGGCCUAA